Molecule: non-coding RNA, 21 nt
Organism: Caenorhabditis elegans
Lineage: Eukaryota; Metazoa; Nematoda; Chromadorea; Rhabditida; Rhabditidae
Source: Ensembl
UGAAUCAUGUAGAAUUGUCAA